GAUGAACGCUGACAGAAUGCUUAACACAUGCAAGUCAACUUGAAUUUGGGUUUUUUCACUUAGAUUUGGGUGGCGGACGGGUGAGUAACGCGUAAAGAACUUGCCUCACAGCUAGGGACAACAUUUGGGAACGAAUGCUAAUACCUGAUAUUAUGAUUAUAAGGCAUCUUAGAAUUAUGAAAGCUAUAUGCGCUGUGAGAGAGCUUUGCGUCCCAUUAGCUAGUUGGAGAGGUAACGGCUCACCAAGGCGAUGAUGGGUAGCCGGCCUGAGAGGGUGAACGGCCACAAGGGGACUGAGACACGGCCCUUACUCCUACGGGAGGCAGCAGUGGGGAAUAUUGGACAAUGGACCAAGAGUCUGAUCCAGCAAUUCUGUGUGCACGAUGACGUUUUUCGGAAUGUAAAGUGCUUUCAGUUGGGAAGAAAAAAAUGACGGUACCAACAGAAGAAGUGACGGCUAAAUACGUG
Molecule: ribosomal RNA, 468 nt
Filed under: uncultured bacterium
Lineage: Bacteria
Description: partial 16S ribosomal RNA
Rfam family: Bacterial small subunit ribosomal RNA
Source: RNAcentral